RNAcentral lists this ribosomal RNA (1341 nucleotides) under metagenome. RNAcentral's name for it is "bacterial LSU rRNA". It matches the Rfam family "Bacterial large subunit ribosomal RNA", at positions 1564 to 2912 of the family's 2925-position model. The record is from RNAcentral.
UGAGUACGAGCUGCUACGGCAGCGAAGUGGGUGAUGUCAUGCUUCCAAGAAAAGCCCUAUACCCGUUAAGGCAUGAUGGCCUGUACCCGAAACCGACACAGGUGGGGUGGUAGAGAAUACCGAGGGGCGCGAGGUAACUCUCUCUAAGGAACUCGGCAAAAUGGCCCCGUAACUUCGGGAGAAGGGGUGCCACCGCAAGGUGGUCGCAGUGAAGAGGCCCAGGCGACUGUUUACCAAAAACACAGGUCUCCGCUAAGUCGCAAGACGAUGUAUGGGGGCUGACGCCUGCCCAGUGCCGGAAGGUUAAGGAAGCUGGUCAGCGUAAGCGAAGCUAGCGACUGAAGCCCCGGUGAACGGCGGCCGUAACAAUAACGGUCCUAAGGUAGCGAAAUUCCUUGUCGGGUAAGUUCCGACCCGCAAAAGGCGUAACGAUCUGGGCGCUGUCUCGGAGAGAGGCUCGGCGAAAUAGAAUUGUCUGUGAAGAUGCGGACUACGUGCACCCGGACAGAAAGACCCUAUGAAGCUUUACUGUAGCUUGGUAUUGUGCUCGGGCUCGGAAUGCGCAGGAUAGGUGGGAGGCUAUGAACCAUUGCUUGCGGGUGAUGGUGAGCCACUGUGAGAUACCACUCUUUCCGAGCUAGAGUUCUAACAGCCACCCGUUAUCCGGGGGCUGGACAGUAUCAGGUGGGCAGUUUGACUGGGGCGGUCGCCUCCUAAAAGGUAACGGAGGCGCGCAAAGGUUUGCUCAGGCUGGUUGGAAAUCAGCCGACGAGUGUAAAAGCAGAAGCAAGCUUGACUGUGAGACCUACAAGUCGAACAGGGAGGAAACUCGGCUUUAGUGAUCCGACGGUUCUGCGUGGAAGGGCCGUCGCUCAACGGAUAAAAGUUACUCUAAGGAUAACAGGCUGAUCUCCCCCAAGAGUUCACAUCGACGGGGAGGUUUGGCACCUCGAUGUCGGCUCAUCGCAACCUGGGGCUGAAGUCGGUCCCAAGGGUUGGGCUGUUCGCCCAUUAAAGCGGUACGCGAGCUGGGUUCAGAACGUCGUGAGACAGUUCGGUCCAUAUCCGGUGCAUGCGCAGGAAUAUUGAGAGGAUUUCUCCCUAGUACGAGAGGACCGGGAGGAACGCACCUCUGGUGUACCAGUUAUCGUGCCAACGGUAAACGCUGGGUAGCCAUGUGCGGAGAGGAUAACCGCUGAAAGCAUCUAAGUGGGAAGCCCACCUCAAGAUGAGUAUUCCCAUGGGGUAACCCAGUAAGGUCACGGGAAGAACACCCGUUGAUAGGCUCUACGUGGAAGCGCAGUAAUGUGUGAAGCGGAGGAGUACUAAUAGACCGAGGGC